RNAcentral lists this ribosomal RNA (1021 nucleotides) under Salmonella enterica. RNAcentral describes it as "partial 23S ribosomal RNA". It matches the Rfam family "Bacterial large subunit ribosomal RNA", at positions 1918 to 2925 of the family's 2925-position model. Lineage: Bacteria; Pseudomonadati; Pseudomonadota; Gammaproteobacteria; Enterobacterales; Enterobacteriaceae. RNAcentral also lists the same sequence under 2 other names. The record is from RNAcentral.
CCCCGGUAAACGGCGGCCGUAACUAUAACGGUCCUAAGGUAGCGAAAUUCCUUGUCGGGUAAGUUCCGACCUGCACGAAUGGCGUAAUGAUGGCCAGGCUGUCUCCACCCGAGACUCAGUGAAAUUGAACUCGCUGUGAAGAUGCAGUGUACCCGCGGCAAGACGGAAAGACCCCGUGAACCUUUACUAUAGCUUGACACUGAACAUUGAGCCUUGAUGUGUAGGAUAGGUGGGAGGCUUUGAAGUGUGGACGCCAGUCUGCAUGGAGCCGACCUUGAAAUACCACCCUUUAAUGUUUGAUGUUCUAACGUGGACCCGUAAUCCGGGUUGCGGACAGUGUCUGGUGGGUAGUUUGACUGGGGCGGUCUCCUCCUAAAGAGUAACGGAGGAGCACGAAGGUUGGCUAAUCCUGGUCGGACAUCAGGAGGUUAGUGCAAUGGCAUAAGCCAGCUUGACUGCGAGCGUGACGGCGCGAGCAGGUGCGAAAGCAGGUCAUAGUGAUCCGGUGGUUCUGAAUGGAAGGGCCAUCGCUCAACGGAUAAAAGGUACUCCGGGGAUAACAGGCUGAUACCGCCCAAGAGUUCAUAUCGACGGCGGUGUUUGGCACCUCGAUGUCGGCUCAUCACAUCCUGGGGCUGAAGUAGGUCCCAAGGGUAUGGCUGUUCGCCAUUUAAAGUGGUACGCGAGCUGGGUUUAGAACGUCGUGAGACAGUUCGGUCCCUAUCUGCCGUGGGCGCUGGAGAACUGAGGGGGGCUGCUCCUAGUACGAGAGGACCGGAGUGGACGCAUCACUGGUGUUCGGGUUGUCAUGCCAAUGGCACUGCCCGGUAGCUAAAUGCGGAAGAGAUAAGUGCUGAAAGCAUCUAAGCACGAAACUUGCCCCGAGAUGAGUUCUCCCUGAGACUUAGAGUCUCCUGAAGGAACGUUGAAGACGACGACGUUGAUAGGCCGGGUGUGUAAGCGCAGCGAUGCGUUGAGCUAACCGGUACUAAUGAACCGUGAGGCUUAACCUUACAACGCC